RNAcentral lists this ribosomal RNA (497 nucleotides) under uncultured bacterium. RNAcentral describes it as "partial 16S ribosomal RNA". It matches the Rfam family "Bacterial small subunit ribosomal RNA", at positions 28 to 507 of the family's 1533-position model. The record is from RNAcentral.
GAUGAACGCUGGCGGCGUGCCUAAUACAUGCAAGUCGAGCGAACGGACGAGAAUCUUGCUUCUCUGAUGUUAGCGGCGGACGGGUGAGUAACACGUGGAUAACCUACCUAUAAGACUGGGAUAACUUCGGGAAACCGUAGCUAAUACCGGAUAAUAUUUUGAACCACAUGGUUCAAAAGUGAAAGACGGUCUUGCUGUCACUUAUAGAUGGAUCCGCGCUGCAUUAGCUAGUUGGUAAGGUAACGGCUUACCAAGGCAACGAUGCAUAGCCGACCUGAGAGGGUGAUCGGCCACACUGGAACUGAGACACGGUCCAGACUCCUACGGGAGGCAGCAGUAGGGAAUCUUCCGCAAUGGGCGAAAGCCUGACGGAGCAACGCCGCGUGAGUGAUGAAGGUCUUCGGAUCGUAAAACUCUGUUAUUAGGGAAGAACAUAUGUGUAAGUAACUGUGCACAUCUUGACGGUACCUAAUCAGAAAGCCACGGCUAACUACGUG